Phragmites australis (common reed) is the source of this 110-nucleotide small nucleolar RNA. RefSeq annotates it as small nucleolar RNA snoR1. The record is from RefSeq and is a predicted model, not a curated record. Lineage: Eukaryota; Viridiplantae; Streptophyta; Magnoliopsida; Poales; Poaceae. The transcript has a single exon.
AGCUGUGAUGAGCACUGCUUCAUUCUGACACCUCUUGUAUGAGAAGCACGCCUAUCACUUGAGAAGUUGAGAGGCCCGUCGCUGAGCAGAGUAUAGCAACUAUCUAAGCU